Molecule: ribosomal RNA, 450 nt
Filed under: Blochmannia endosymbiont of Camponotus textor
Lineage: Bacteria; Pseudomonadati; Pseudomonadota; Gammaproteobacteria; Enterobacterales; Enterobacteriaceae
Description: bacterial SSU rRNA
Rfam family: Bacterial small subunit ribosomal RNA
Source: RNAcentral
AACCCUGAUGCAGCUAUACCGUGUGUGUGAAGAAGGCCUUAGGGUUGUAAAGCACUUUCAAUGGGGAAGAAUUUAAUAUUGCUAAUAUCGAUAUUAAUUGACGUUACCUAUAUAAGAAGCACCGGCUAACUCCGUGCCAGCAGCCGCGGUAAUACGGAGGGUGCAAGCGUUAAUCGGAAUUGCUGGGCGUAAAGAGUACGUAGGUGGUUUGUUAAGUCAGAUGUGAAAUCCCUGAGCUUAACUUAGGAACUGCAUUUGAAACUAAUAAACUAGAGUUUCGUAGAGGGGGGUAGAAUUCCAGGUGUAGCGGUGAAAUGCGUAGAGAUCUGGAGGAAUACCAGUGGCGAAGGCGACCCCCUGGACGGAAACUGACACUCAGGUACGGAAGCAUGGGGAGCAAACAGGAUUAGAUACCCUGGUAGUCCAUGCCGUAAACGAUGUCGAUUUGAA